UGGCGGGUGCACACCCACCUGCUUGUAUUGGUCAGCGCGCCCGGCUUUCCCUCCCUCGGGACUCCUGGAGGAUCUCUGGUAGCCAAUGCUGGCUUUUCCUCUACUUAAGUUACAGGCAGCCCUUUUGGUUGUCCAUACUACCCGUACUCAAGAUGCAGCUUGAUUAUUAAUAAUAAACAUAUUCGCGGACCCGCUAAAAGUCAGAAAGAACACAAGAAACUCUUAAGGGUCUGUAUAAAAUGAGGAAUUUGUCUCCUUUACAUUUCUAUGACUCUGGAUUAAUGUAUUUGGGAUCACGUUGUGGAUUCAGUGAUUCAGGUAAAGGCAAAACACGCAAUGGUAAUGCUUUUAUCUGGUAACUUUUUUUUUAACUACAGCUUGGACAGACUGUAGUACAGAAAUGCAUUAAGCAUACUAAAAUAACAAAAACUGAUUAGGCCUUUGGAGUUACAUCCACGAGUUUGCUUUAAGUUGUGUGAGUAAACAUUAUUAUUCUUGAAUUGAACAGUGAAAACUAUCUUCUGUUCUAAACAAAGCCCACACUCUAUGUGGACCUCCAAAGCUUACAACCAUUGUUGACUUGAACAACAGUAUCACAAGCCUUUAAAAAGCCUAAUAAACCAUCUGUCCAUCUACUUUUACACAAAUUGGGAAACAGAAAACAGUGAAUGCAGAAAGCUGAAAAUGAGAAUUCCUAACUGCAAAUGAAUCUUGUAAAUCCUAUUCCACAGAAUAAAAUAUUGUGAAAACCCCAAAGCCUAGGAGCUACCAAUUCAUCAAUCUGGAAGAAGAGUCAUAUAAUUUUAUAAAUGAAUCAUCUAGUUCUUAAGAUCACCUGGAGUCUAAUUUUUUUCAUUUUGCUGAUUGAGAUCUGAAGUCCAGAGAAGGGCAUAGAGGAACCAAGCUGCAACUGACCUGAAAACUUCCUCUCUUCUGGCUAGCUAUCAUGGUGCUAGAAGAUACUUUGCAGGCUAAUAGGGGAGAAAGGUAUUACCCACCAGUUAACUCUGAAUGCUACAAUGCCAGGUAAGAUGUGUCAACUGAUAUAAUAGUAGCAAGAAGGAAUGGUUGUAAUGAACUGCUUUCUGAUUGGAUUUGAGGCCUGUUCCACAAGAAGGAAUUUAUGCCUGAUAAUAUAAACUUGCUCAUAAGCCCUAGGCAGGAACCUACUCCUGUUAUUUUGCUACAUACAUAUGUUGUCAAAUUCCCUUAUAAAUAUUUCUGUUUGUAUACGUAGAUUACUGUUGUUCUCAGUCUUGACCACAGAAGCUUCUUUCUUUAGUAGUCACAGUUAAAUACUGAGACUCAUAACUGGUCAGAGUGCUAAUAAUAAGUGACUAUUGAGUGUUCAGUGUUAAACAGAACAUUUGUAUCAUCCUCCCUAAGGCUUGGGGAGCAUCCCAGAAGAGGAGGUGGAAAGAAUCAAAAGGCUGGUGGAUGGGAAGAGUGCUUGCUGGGAGACACUUCUGUAUAUGGCACGGCUGUUGUACUCAUGAACUUACUGUAGCCAUUGUUACCUACACAAGACCUGGACACAAUCUCUUCAUACCACCAGGCAGUGCUAAUCAGUCUUGAUUGGUUGUGCACACAUAGAAAAGAGAAGACAUGAGGGUAUAAGGGGGACAUGUUAGGACUAUUUAAGAGGAAUUGGAGGGAGAGGGGAGAGUUAGGGUGGAUAUGAUUAAGAUACACUGUAUACAUGUAUCCAGUUGACAAAGAAUAAAUAAAAGACAUCUUAAAAUAAGUUCUGACUUUCCUUUGUGACCACCAGUGAGAUACAGCCUUAGAAACUCUGACUUGCUUUUGAAUUUUAGCUUCUUUUCAUUUAUAUUCCACACACCUAAACAGAACUUUUGCUUGUAUUUCAAUGUAGAAUUUUCUUCUAUGUGUAUUGCACAACAUGCAUAUUCUGAAUAAAGCACCCAUUCCUACAAAA
Non-coding RNA from Peromyscus maniculatus bairdii (prairie deer mouse), 1936 nucleotides. NCBI's taxonomy places the organism in Eukaryota, Metazoa, Chordata, Mammalia, Rodentia, Cricetidae. The record is from RefSeq and is a predicted model, not a curated record.